Molecule: unclassified non-coding RNA, 796 nt
Filed under: Hevea brasiliensis (rubber tree)
Lineage: Eukaryota; Viridiplantae; Streptophyta; Magnoliopsida; Malpighiales; Euphorbiaceae
Source: RNAcentral
ACCAGGGUGUUAGCUGUGUGGCCAAACCACUGGCGGGCACAGCUCAAUAAGGCUGUCUCAUUGUUGGGGGGUGGGGGAAAACUGAGGAAGCUAAGAAAGCUUUGAAGGAAGCUUUGAAAAUGACAAAUAGGGUUGAAUUGCAUGAUGCAAUAUCACAUUUAAAACAGCUGCAGAAGAAGAAAGUCAAGCCUAAUGGAGGUGCAAAUGGAGAGGGAGCUUUUGUUAUUGUGGAACCCUCAAAAUUUAAGACAAUGAGUGAAAAAACUACAUUGAGGCAGGACUUAGCCAAUGCUCUUCAAAUUAGGGCUUUUCAAAGGAUUAGCAGGUUGGGUCGUUGUGAUGUGGAGCUUUUGAAGAAGGAAAUGAAUGAAAAUGAUGCCCCGUUGUCUUAUUCCGGCGGUGGUGUUCCAGAGAAAUCCAUACGCAAACCUAACUUGGAGGAAAUUCUUCGGAGGUUACUUAAUUUCGUGAAACCUGAAACCUUUCAGGGGACUGUCAAGGCAAUAAAUGAGAGGGUUCUCUCUAUUUUGGAUGAGACAGGCUCAGGCAGGGUGGACGUGGGCAUGUUUUAUGCUGUUCUUGCCCCCAUUUGUAGUGGCAGUCCCGACAAGCGAAAACGGAUUGCUUUUGAUGCACUUUUGUGGCGUCCUGCGAAUGAAGGUGGUUCUCAGAUUAGAAAAAGUGAUGCUGUUCGUUAUAUGAAGUUGCUGAGGGCUAUUUACGUUCCUUCACGAGGAGUUAGUGAAAUGUUAGAAGUUCAUGGGGAGACAGAUUCUUCAAUGGUAUCUUUCAAUGA